AUGAUGAAAGCAGCAAAAUUUGGGAGGUUGGGGGGUACCCGAGAGCAGCAGGUGAGUGGGGCAGGGCAGCAGGCGCCCCUGGUUGGGCAGCGCCGCGGCUGCCGCCUCUUUAUUUUUGCCCAUUCUCAUCCUCUCAGUUCUUCUUUUUGCACGGUUUCAUCCUCUUUUCACUUUUUUUUUUUUUUUUUUUGCCUAUUUUCGUCCCCUUUUUGCCCAUUUCUGUCUUCUUUAUCACUUCCUUGGCACGUUUUCAUACCUUUUUUUCCCCAUUUCCGCCCUCUCGAUCCCCUUUUAUUUUUUUCCCAUUUUCAUUCUCUAAGUCCCACUUUCUUGCCCAUUUUUGUCCUCUUCAUCACUACUUUUGCCUAUUUUCAUCCCCUUUUUGCCCAUUUCUGUCCUCUUUAUCACUUCUUUGGCACGUUUUCAUACCUUUUUCCCCCAUUUCCACCCUCUCGAUCCCCCCCUUUUUUUCUUUCCCCAUUUUCAUUCUCUAAGUCCCAUUUUCUUGCCUAUUUUUGUCCUCUUUAUCACUAUUUUUGCCUAUUUUCAUCCCCUUUUUGCCCAUUUUCACCCUCUAUAUCUUUUUCUCCCUUUUUCUUAUCUCUUUUUGCACGUUUUCUUCCCCCCUCAUCCCUUUUGUUGCCCAUUUUUUAUCCCAUCUAUUUUUUUCUUCUUAUUUUCUCUCUCUCCUUUUUUUUUUGCCCAUUUUCAUUCCUUCUGCAUCACUCAGGAGAUGCCCAGCACCAUUUCCCCCCCUCCCCUCUGAUCCAAAGCAUUUUGGGGACUUGUAGACCCCCAACCAUUGACAUCAGCACUGAUUUCUCAGCCCUGUGCUCGCUUGAUGCCAUUCCCUGUCCCAAAUUUGGAUUAAUCCCGCGUUGCGCUCCGUGCUCACGGCUGCAUUUCUGUGAUCUGUCGGUACCGUUGCGUGGCUGUGAUUCCUGGAUGGCUUUGGGGUCAUUUGGGGGGAAUUCUAUCCAUUUUUUGCUGCUGUGCCAUUGGCCACUGGGCAGUUCCUGCCAUAACGGUGACGUUGGGUGA
This 1041-nucleotide long non-coding RNA is filed under the name Phasianus colchicus (ring-necked pheasant). RNAcentral describes it as "lncRNA (ENSPCLG00000014563.1)". The record is from RNAcentral. Lineage: Eukaryota; Metazoa; Chordata; Aves; Galliformes; Phasianidae.